Molecule: ribosomal RNA, 301 nt
Filed under: uncultured bacterium
Lineage: Bacteria
Description: partial 16S ribosomal RNA
Rfam family: Bacterial small subunit ribosomal RNA
Source: RNAcentral
CAGUCGCCACGGUAAUACAGAGGAUGCAAGCGUUAUCCGGAAUGAUUGGGCGUAAAGGGCUCGCAGGCGGUUUCUUAAGUCUGAUGUGAAAGCCCCCGGCUCAACCGGGGAGGGUCAUUGGAAACUGGGAAACUUGAGUGCAGAAGAGGAGAGUGGAAUUCCACGUGUAGCGGUGAAAUGCGUGGAGAUGUGGAGGAACACCAGUGGCGAAGGCGACUCUCUGGUCUGUAACUGACGCUGAGGAGCGAAAGCGUGGGGAGCGAACAGGAUUAGAUACCCGCGUAGUCCCUGUCUCUUAUAC